Molecule: ribosomal RNA, 633 nt
Filed under: uncultured bacterium
Lineage: Bacteria
Description: bacterial SSU rRNA
Rfam family: Bacterial small subunit ribosomal RNA
Source: RNAcentral
AGAGUUUGAUCAUGGCUCAGAAUCAACGCUGGCGGCGUGCCUAACACAUGCAAGUCGAACGAGAAAGUGGAGCAAUCCAUGAGUAAAGUGGCGUACGGGUGAGUAACACGUGACUAACCUACCCUUGAGUGGGGGAUAACUUCGGGAAACCGGAGGCUAAUACCGCAUAAUACCUUCGGGUCAAAGGAGUAAUUCGCUUAAGGAGGAGGUCGCGGCUGAUUAGCUAGUUGGUAGGGUAAUGGCCUACCAAGGCAAUGAUCAGUAUCCGGCCUGAGAGGGCGCACGGACACACUGGAACUGAAACACGGUCCAGACUCCUACGGGAGGCAGCAGUGGGGAAUUUUGCACAAUGGGGGAAACCCUGAUGCAGCAACGCCGCGUGGAGGAUGAAGUCCCUUGGGAUGUAAACUCCUUUCGACCGGGACGAUAAUGACGGUACCGGUGGAAGAAGCCCCGGCUAACUCUGUGCCAGCAGCCGCGGUAAUACAGAGGGGGCAAGCGUUGUUCGGAAUUAUUGGGCGUAAAGGGUGCGUAGGCGGUGCGGUAAGUCUUCUGUGAAAUCUCCGGGCUCAACUCGGAGUCUGCAGGAGAAACUGCCGUGCUUGAGUAUGGGAGAGGUGAGUGGAAUUCCUG